RNAcentral lists this small RNA (2312 nucleotides) under Histoplasma capsulatum. RNAcentral describes it as "hypothetical RNA". Lineage: Eukaryota; Fungi; Ascomycota; Eurotiomycetes; Onygenales; Ajellomycetaceae. The record is from RNAcentral. RNAcentral also lists the same sequence under 1 other name.
CCGCACCGCUGCAUCGUUUCCUCUCCCAAUAAACAGGAGGAUCUUUUUCUUUUCACCUCAUUUAGGCCGUUUGUAUUUUUCUAUAUACUUUGAGAGACGAUGGUCAUCCUCGCAGCGUCGAUAUGUACUCGAGGGGGCAAAGCGGUACUCUCGCGCCAGUUCCGUGAAAUCGCCCGCUCUCGGAUAGAAUCGCUAUUGGCAUCAUUCCCGAAGUUAGCAGAUUCCGGCACGCAGCACACCAUCGUCGAACAAGAUAAUGUCCGAUUCGUCUACCAGCCAUUGGACGAAUUAUACAUUGUCCUCAUCACAAACAAGCAGUCCAACAUCCUCCAAGAUAUAGACAGCUUGCAUAUUUUCGCCCAGGUCGUCACAAGUAUUUGCAAAAGUCUCGAUGAACGGGAGAUAUUGCGGAAUGCAUUCGAGCUCCUUAGCGCCUUCGAUGAGCUUGUCACUUUGGGCUACCGGGAAAACCUCUCUUUGUCACAGAUAAAGACGUUCCUUGAGAUGGAAAGUCACGAAGAGAGAGUGCAGGAGAUAAUUGAAAGGAACAAGGAACUUGAAGCGAGCGAAGCGCGAAAGCGCAAGGCAAAACAAUUGGAGAUGCAGCGCAAAGAAGCCGCCCGCAGCGGUCGUGGCGUGGCCCCACGAGCCCCAUCUUAUCCAGUCUAUACUCAGCCGACUCGGCCAACACCUUCUGAGACCCUCGACUCAUAUGAGGCGGAGAAAAAGAAGACUUUUGCUAAGCCAAUGGCUGUUAGGGGCAAGGGAAUGCAGCUUGGGAAGAAAUCGAAAGCUACCGAUAUCUAUGAGAAAGUUCGAAGCGACCUCGGCCCUGACGCUGAAGACAGACCACUGGUUUCCCCGGCCCCUGCACAGGCUUUUUCAGAAAAUGUGGCUCAACCGCGCAGCUCAUUAUCUGUCGACCGCGAGCCUAUCCAUGUUACUGUGGCUGAAACCAUUUCCGCCAAGCUUUCCCGCGAUGGCUCAGUGAAGUCAUGGGAGAUAAAAGGCGAUCUUCAACUGCGUAUCACGGACGAUACAUUUACAAAAGUGAAGCUUGGAUUAACAGCCAAUCCUACUCAUGGGGCUGUUUUCCGUACCCAUCCUAAUGUCGACAAAGCGCUAUUUACAAACUCCAAAGUCAUUCAACUCCGUGACCCUUCAAAGAGUUUCCCUCACAAUAUUUCAAUUGGAGUCCUUCGGUGGCGCGUCACUGGCACAGACAACACAGACGUUCUUCCAAUUACGUUUACCGUUUGGGUAAACAGAGGCACUCAAUCAAGCACUGUUACCAUUGAGUACGAGCUCAAUGGUUCGGACCCACUACGAGACGUUGUUGUAACAAUCCCUUUCGGUGCUGUCGAGCCUACCGUGACGAAUUAUGACGCUGUUUAUGAAGUGACUGGAGACAGCCUGGACUGGAACAUUGGUACUGUCAACGAAUCGAAUGUCUCUGGCAGUUUCGAGUUUGAGUCUGAGGACCCCAACAGUGACGAGAAUGAGUUUUUCCCGAUGACCGUCAAGUUCCAAAAAGAAAGCCCCUUUGUGGAUGUUGAUGUGCAGUCAGUAUCGCUUAUGGAAAUGGAUGGGCAGGCUGUGAAUUUCUCGAAGGACUUCAAGACAGUUGCGGAUGGAUAUGCGGUUGAAUAAUUAAUUUUGUUUGCGGUUGUAAUUUUCUUUCAAAAUUUUAGAAUAUUUAUUUCUGCUUCUCUUGUUUUCCUUUCCCUCCAGCUAUGCAACGCUAUUCAAUUCCAUAUGACAAAAAAACGUUUCAACCACCUUGCCGGCUGCGAAUACAACUUUCCUCCUUAUUCUUUAUCUUAUUUUUCAUUCCACGAUAGGAACUGGGGAUGAUUAAUUUCACAAAAGGGUAUAUAGAAAGGAAGUUUUAGGACGAAAGCGAAAGCAAUUCGCGGUGCAAAUCUGUACUCUAUUCAUUUAGCUUCAACCAGACUACUCCUGCUAUGGGAACAGCUUGAACGGGGUUUUGGUACUUUGGGAUAUUUCAAGGCUUGUGAGCAAGCCUGUGGAACUUGCCUUGCUGGACUAUCAUGGAUAGAAUUCUAUCUCAAUAUGUCUCCGUUUGUGUGGUUAUGCUGGUGAGUAAGGGACUCAGGAACUCAAGGGGCACUUCACAAUCGGGCUAUAUGUCUUGAACUUCAGGUUUCUUUUUCUUUUUAGAGCGGACAUCUUCGUAGUUGAGAGAGAAAAAGCCAGAAGAUCAGGUGCAUUGUUCUUGGUUGAGGAAUGCUAUGCAUUCAAUAGUUACAUAAGGAUAAAAUUCACCAGGUGUUCAUGGUUUUGCUGGGUUU